UACGAGAGGUCCAAACGUUAUUCGGAAUUACUGGGCUUACAGAGUUCGUAGGCGGUUCUACAAGUGAGGUGUGAAAGCCCUCGGCUCAACCGAGGAACUGCGCUUCAAACUGUAGAACCAGAGGGAGAUAGAGGUGAGCGGAACUGAUGGUGGAGCGGUGAAAUGCGUUGAUAUCAUCAGGAACACCGGAGGCGAAGGCGGCUCACUGGGUCUCUUCUGACGCUGAGGAGCGAAAGCUAGGGGAGCAAACGGG
RNAcentral lists this ribosomal RNA (253 nucleotides) under uncultured bacterium. RNAcentral's name for it is "partial 16S ribosomal RNA". It matches the Rfam family "Bacterial small subunit ribosomal RNA", at positions 524 to 776 of the family's 1533-position model. The record is from RNAcentral.